RNAcentral lists this unclassified non-coding RNA (285 nucleotides) under plant metagenome. RNAcentral's name for it is "partial contains small subunit ribosomal RNA, internal transcribed spacer 1, and 5.8S ribosomal RNA". The stretch from base 1 to 54 matches the Rfam family "Eukaryotic small subunit ribosomal RNA", at positions 1778 to 1831 of the family's 1831-position model. The record is from RNAcentral.
GGAAGUAAAAGCCGUAACAAGGUUUCCGUAGGUGAACCUACGGAAGGAUCAUUAUUGUAUAACCGAGGUGCGAGGGCUGUCGCUGACCCGAAAGGUCGUGCACGCCCGAGUGCCCUCACACACAUCCAUCUCACCCCUAUGUGCACCACCGCGUGGGUCCCCCUUUGGCUUGUUCGGAGGGGGGCUUACGUUUUCACACAAACUUUGUAUGCAGUGUAGAAUGUAUUUUUUGUUUUUGCGAUCACGCAAUCAAUACAACUUUCAACAACGGAUCUCUUGGCUCUC